CCAGGAGCUGGCCUCAAAAUAGCCUCAGCGGCCUCCGGUCCCCACGGCCCGGAGCCCAGGCUGGGCGGGGCCGGGUGGGGCCCCAGCAGGGCUGGGCCUGAAGGGCAGAAUCCGGGCCUGCGGCAAACCUGGGAGGUGGGGGCUAGCAGGGCUCUCCAGGGGGAGACUCCCCCUAAGGUUGGGGCUCCCAGCCCCGUCCGGCCCCUCCCUGUUCCCAGACCCCCCAAAAAAUCCCAGCCACAUUCACUAGUCACUCAGCACAACCGGGGACAAGCCUGAGUUUCGGUAGGGACACUGCUCGAUUCAAGGGGAGCUGCGGGAUGCAGGAGCCCUGUGGAAGCCUGUGGCCGACAGCCAGCCUCGGAGGGGCUGUGGCACCCUCUCCACUAGGGACGGAGGAGGAGGAAAGGUUGCUGUGGGCAGAGCUAGGGAGCAGGUGAGGGCUCUGGCCCUGGGGAAAGAAGAGGUCUGGCCUUGCGGGAAGUGGCAACAGUGUGGGGCGAGGUCUGAGCUGGGCAGAGCGGGGUUUCCAGGACAGUUGGGAGCUGAAGGUCUGGCUGCUUGGGCCAGGGAGGGCCAGAGGGGUCUCUCUCCUCUCGUGCCCCUUUUUUGCAUCCUUAUCCCACAUCUGGCUACGCUCUCCCGCUCUGCCUUCACCCAAGCCAGGCUCAUUCCUUCCAGCGGGAACCACCUUUAAAAAGAAAUCCUGGAUGCAUGUCCCCAAGAGGCCCCAGGAGCAGAGGCCACUGUGCCCAUCUGUGGUCCCCCACGUCUUCCCACCCGCUGCCACGUUUCUGAAAAUGGACAAGGGUGGGUGGGAGGCCAUUUCAAGCUUGUGGUGGGGGGAGGGUGUAGCCCAAGUGGUAAAGUGUGUGCUGGGGUUCAAUUCCCAGUACCUCCUCUAAAAAUAAAUAAAUUAGCCUAAUUCCCUCCCUCCCUCCUCCUCCCAAACAGCAACAACAAUAAAAAAACACAUAAAGAGGCAUUCUGAUUAUACAAAUAACCUGUGUUAAGUGCAGGAUACUUUCAGAUACACAAUUAGAAAAAAAUGAAAAAAAAAAGCGAGGCGAGAGAGACUCUGACACCCCUCCCUCCAGCCUUGCUGCCUACCCAGCGUAGGGGCUCCCAGCUCUGAGCCCCCGAGAUGGAGGCUCUCCACCCUAAGGCUGGAGGCGUCUACUUUUUGUCCCUUUGCCCCAGGGGUCCAUCAGGGAGCCAGGUGGGGGGUUGAUACUCCAGUGGGGAAAGGAAUAUGUGAAAGAAUUUCAACCUAAAAUAGGACUGGAGGGUAUCAAGUGGAGAAUCUCACACAUGUGCCCUUAAGAAGACUGAGCGAGACCUGUGGGACCUUCCUGGGUUAGACACCUCCCACCCCCGACCCCACCAAACCAUGUCCUCCACCUGCCUCUCUUUUGUAGAAGAACUUUCCUAGGCCUUCCCUAAGUUCCAAAGAAUAAGUUUAAUCUAAGUAGGAAAAUGCAGAACCAAAGGGAAAAAGCCAAGCAAGACGAAAUAGUUUAGCCAUUAAACAUAGUCAAGGACCUUAACUUUCUUCUCAUGGGCUCUAGAUGAUAUUCUGAGCCAUGUCCUUGGAGCUUCAUUGCAGACACUGAAAUCCCCACCGGAUGGGAAAAGCUAAGUGCGUGCUGCCCACCAGCAAUAGACCCCAGACCGGUUGGAACCAGAAGGAUGAUGGUGUUGACUCCUGACCACCUUACCACCAACCGAUUAGAAGGAUGUCCAUGAGCUGAUCAGACAGACACAACCCCCUUCCUCACUCUGUCUUUAAAAACUUUUCCCUGAAAGCCAUCAGGGAGCUCAGGUCUCUUGAGUACUAGCUGCCUGGACUCCUUGCUCGGCACCCUGCAAUAAACGCUGUGCUUUCCUUCGCCGUAGCCAGUGCCGGUAGCCUGCCUUCCCUGCACCCAGGUGGAUGCACCCAAGUUUGCUUUGGUAACAAAUUCCCAUCAAUGCCUGAUGACAGAAAGCUGAUAGUGUAGGAAUUUUCCCAGAUAAUGGGUGGUUGAUCACAAGUUGUCUUGUAUGAAAACUUGGGAAGUUUUGCCUGGGGCAUAAAUCAAAGAUGACCCAGGUUGGGUUGGUCUCACGAAGUGGGCUGAAAUGAGCUUUGUUUGUGUGGCUGAAUGGAUUUUUUCUGCUUGGCAAGUUUUCAAGGCUGGUCCCUUUCUGGUUUUGAUUUUUAACUGACCCGAACCACACUCUCCCUGACCAUUAAUACAACCUGCUUCAAACCCUCAACAGACCCUCCUGGACCUUGCUACAGAGUUUCCUGAAUUGCAGCUCCUCUUUUAGUCCUGAAUAAACUCAUCUUUGGGGCUUUCCUCAAUUUACUUCUUCAUAUUUAGGCCAACAGAUGACACAGACAACUCAAGCUAUUCUGGUUCAUCCUGGCCACUAGGAAAGGGGGAAAUAAUGGGAUAGAGAGAGAUGGAAGGUGACAGGGCAGCGACUUUUGGUGGGAGGCAGGUGUGGGGGUCUGGAGAUAGUCCUUCAGGCUUGACAUCUGAGAAACAGCAGAAUGCAGAGGACUUAGCUUUCUUGACUCCUAGGGAGAGAGCAUUCCAGGCAGAGGAGCCAGGAAAGAACCGAUCUGCACAGAACAGCAAACAGGUGUGAAGCAGAGCAGCAUGGAGGGGCUGGGUCCUGAGUCCUGAGGAGUGGGAAUCACUGGAGAGUUCGAAGUGUGGUUAUAUCUUAAACUCACUUAUGGCUGCGGAUGCAGGAGUGGAAGCCGAAAGCCCUGGUAGAGGCGGUGGCUUUGUGUUAAAACGAGGCUGCUUGGCCUGGGCUGGGUACAGAUUGCGUGAUGAGGAGCCGCCAGACUGAGAUGCUGCGGGGCCUUUCUGCCAACCAAAGGGAGGGGGUGGGCAUGCCUUCCUGCCUGUCUGAGGAGUGCUGAGAAAGUGGGGCCCUCAGAGGAGAGUGUAGGACUGAGAAGACAAGACCCAGCUUUCAAGCCUUGGCUGCAGCCUGGCUCGUUCAUUCAACAAGUAUUUGCUGGGGAUGUUCGAGCGCUGGGGGUACCAGUGGUCCAGCGUGGCCCUGCCUGUGGGGACCUCCAUCCCAGUGAGAGGACACGGACGACAUGCAACGUGUGGCACGGUGGACAGUGAUGAGGUCCACGGAGAAGCAAGUGAGGGGUCAGGAGAGAUGCGGUUUCAAGAGGACAGUCCUGGGACGAUGGAGCGAGGACCGCCCACUGGUUUCUCCCCAUGAUCACAACUAUAAAUCCUGGACAGAGGCAGAGAGCGGAUCUCAGAGGACUGAAAGAUUGCCCACCUUGAAACCUAGAAGUGCACCCAGUGUGGACAGAAAAGGCUCCAGAGAAUUCCUCUGGUCCAAGGAACAGAAAUAAAUUUCCUGAAACCUCACCCCCAACCCCGUUUGUUUUUUCACCUUCUUACCAACACCAGCUCCUGGGUGGUAAUGUCGAGGUGGCAUUGUGAUGGCCGCGCCAGCCAGGCAGGCAUCUGAAGCCCUGAGAAGGGGAGUGAGCCUCUAACCAGAGGAGUUGAAGCCACAAGGGUGUGUGGCAACCACUCACUGCUUUCCCUCUGCCCUCACAUCUUUUUCAACCAAUUGCCUGUGGAUGGGCACUUGGGUUGUUUCCAUGUCUUGGCUCUUGUAAAUUAUUCUGUUAUGAACAACGGAGUCCAUGUAUCUUUUCCAAUUAGAGUUUUACCCUUUUAGGGUAUAUAUGCCCAGGAGUCGGACUGCUGGACCUACUUUUGGAUUUUUAAGGAAACUCCACACUGUUUUCCAUAGUGGCUGCACCAAGUUACAGUCCCUCCGAAAGUGUGGGAGGGUUCUCUUUUCUCCACACCCUCUCCAGCAUUUAUUAUUUAUAGAUGUUUUGAUGAUGGCCAUUCUGACUUGUGUGGGAUGGUACCUUGUUGUAGUUUGGAUUUACAUUUCUCUAAUAAUUCGUGAUGUUGAGCAUCUUU
Molecule: non-coding RNA, 3965 nt
Organism: Vicugna pacos (alpaca)
Lineage: Eukaryota; Metazoa; Chordata; Mammalia; Artiodactyla; Camelidae
Source: RefSeq, a predicted model, not a curated record